UUACGGCCAUGUCACGUGGAAACAUGGGUUCUAGUAAGGUCUUCGAAGUUAAGCAACGUCAAGCCUGGUCAGUAUCUAGAUGGGUAACCACUUGGGAAUACCAGGUGCUGUAUG
This 114-nucleotide ribosomal RNA is filed under the name Acanthosepion pharaonis. Lineage: Eukaryota; Metazoa; Mollusca; Cephalopoda; Sepiida; Sepiidae. The record is from RNAcentral.